CGAAAAUUGGCUCAAAAAAUUGGCUCCAUUAAUAUUUGGGAUUUUGGCUCCAAUUUAAUUCAGGCCAAAAUGUACAUUUUCUUCUACACUUAGCAAAAAAAUCAAAACUCUCUCUCUCUCUCUCUCUCGGACUCUUAUCUUUCUCUCUCGACGGCAACAACUCUCCUCCAACUCUCCUCUCAUCCGACCAGAAUCCUCAUGGCUUCCACCAGACAAUUCGCGAAUGGGCGUUGUACACGAACACCCGAGUUAAAUCUCUAUUUGUCAUCGAUUAGGGUUUCAGUGUUAGGGGUUUCCUCUUUUUUAUUCUUCUGCUGCUGCUAUUUAUUAUUCUGUAUUAGUCAUCGAUUGGGAUUUCAAUUAGUUUCAGUGCUAGGGGUUUCGAUUUGGGGAUAACUGAUUUUUCUGUAUCAAUCUCGAUUAAGAUUAUUCUUACUUUGGUUUGACUUGUCACGAGUCUUUCUACGUGUCCGAGGUUUCAAUUUAUGGUUCUCUCUGUGUUACGGGUCAGUCUCCUUUCCUCUGCUAAAAAGAAUAAACUGUUAGCAAAGACCAAAAAUGUUAAUUUUUGUCCAAACUUAAGUCGCACUACCAACAAAGUCUUGUUGCGUUAUCUAUGUACAUAAUUAAUGAGCAUAGUUUGUUAACUGGUGUGUUGUUUUAGCUUUUGGAGCUUAGUGUGUGUUCCUGUAUGUUUGAGCUCGUUCUGUAAUUCAUGGCUCACUCAGAUUUGUUCUGCAGGACCAGACUUUGAUGGCUCAGCUCGCUAGAGAUGUAUAAAAGGGAAGUUCUUAGCCUCUCUUUGCCAUGAACCUCGCUGGGUUGUCUUGAGCAGAGUUGGUGGUCAUGAGCUUGAACACAGAGGACGUACGGCGUGGUGGUGGUGGUGUUAGCCGCCUCUGUUUACCGGAGAGUCUCAGAGUGAAGACAAAGCUUCAUGGUGGUGCGGCUGAUGAUGACGAUGUUUGGAUUUAGAUCUAGGGGAUCGAAACGAUAAACUUGAGAUGAUUUUGAUGGACGCUCUUUGCUGUGCAAUUGACAAUCUUGACACGACAAAUUUGAUGGUAAUCAUGGGAGACUUGUUGGGACACGAUGAGUUCGUUGUCGCUGCUUUCGCAUUGAGUUGUAGACGUAGACAAUACAACUUUCUCGUAGCACAGCCUGAUGAGUUUAAAGAACAGCUACGUUCUUCAGCGAAAAAGAAAUGGCUUUGUUCAAGUCUAUUAACUGGAAGAGGCCCUUUGCCCCUAACCUCAAGCAUGCAACACCUCAUGGACAAUAUUGGUACCCUGAAUGCUGACAAACUCACAUGUAACAGCACAAGCCCACAAGAAACUUCACAAAACGGGCCCAACACUGUAUGCAGCAAACUCAGCCUGCAAACACACAGCUCCAACGGUCAUCUUCAACUUUCACUGGCGAGACAAGAAGUACAGAGGAAGUUACAGAGGCAGUUUUCUUAAAAGCAAAAGUCUCAAAAGCAAAAGUUAAGCUGUCAACAUCUGGAACAGCUCCGCAUGUGCUUAGCCAAAACCGUUUUGCUGCGCUUGAUGAUGAUGACAACUAAAGCAAAACCUUAGAAUGUAAUAAGAGGUUAAGAGAGAAAUAUUAUUUUUAAAAUAAAAAAAAAAUACCUUUGUUCACCA
Raphanus sativus (radish) is the source of this 1646-nucleotide long non-coding RNA. RefSeq lists it as uncharacterized. The record is from RefSeq and is a predicted model, not a curated record. The transcript has 4 exons. NCBI's taxonomy places the organism in Eukaryota, Viridiplantae, Streptophyta, Magnoliopsida, Brassicales, Brassicaceae.